ACGGAAGGCAGCAGUGGGGAAUAUUGCACAAUGGGGGAAACCCUGAUGCAGCGACGCCGCGUGAGUGAAGAAGUAUUUCGGUAUGUAAAGCUCUAUCAGCAGGGAAGAAAAUGACGGUACCUGACUAAGAAGCCCCGGCUAACUACGUGCCAGCAGCCGCGGUAAUACGUAGGGGGCAAGCGUUAUCCGGAUUUACUGGGUGUAAAGGGAGCGUAGACGGUUCUGCAAGUCUGAUGUGAAAGGCAGGGGCUCAACUCCUGGACUGCAUUGGAAACUGUAGAACUAGAGUGCCGGAGAGGUAAGCGGAAUUCCUAGUGUAGCGGUGAAAUGCGUAGAUAUUAGGAGGAACACCAGUGGCGAAGGCGGCUUACUGGACGGUAACUGACGUUGAGGCUCGAAAGCGUGGGGAGCAGACAGGAUUAGAUACCCUGGUA
RNAcentral lists this ribosomal RNA (434 nucleotides) under uncultured Lachnospiraceae bacterium. RNAcentral describes it as "partial 16S ribosomal RNA". It matches the Rfam family "Bacterial small subunit ribosomal RNA", at positions 341 to 792 of the family's 1533-position model. The record is from RNAcentral. Lineage: Bacteria; Bacillati; Bacillota; Clostridia; Lachnospirales; Lachnospiraceae.